ACGCAUCUCUGGCGGCGAGGGUGCGCCCAGCUCCGGACCGAAAGGCCGUGCAGCGGGCUGUCCCGGACCGCUAAACCUUUGCAAACCCACUGUGCACUUUUGUCGGCAAAGGGCCCGCCAAAGGCCCCGAGCCGGAUCACAAACACUUUGUUAAUCGAAUGCAAGCGGACAUUGUGCCGCCUAAACUUUAA
RNAcentral lists this unclassified non-coding RNA (191 nucleotides) under uncultured Trechispora. Its description in RNAcentral is "sequence contains ITS1". The record is from RNAcentral. Lineage: Eukaryota; Fungi; Basidiomycota; Agaricomycetes; Polyporales; Polyporaceae.